GACGAACGCUGGCGGCGUGCCUAACACAUGCAGGUCGAGCGAAUGAAGUUCCUUCGGGGCUGGAUUUAGCGGCGGACGGGUGAGUAACACGUGGGCAACCUGCCUCAUAGAGGGGAAUAGCCUCCCGAAAGGGAGAUUAAUACCGCAUAAGAUUGUAGUACCGCAUGAUACAGCAAUUAAAGGAGCAAUCCGCUAUGGGAUGGGCCCGCGGCGCAUUAGCUAGUUGGUGAGGUAAUGGCGCACCAAGGCGACGAUGCGUAGACGACCAGAGAGGGUGAUCGGCCACAUUGGGACUGAGACACGGCCCAGACUCCUACGGGAGGCAGGAGUGGGGAAUAUUGCACAAUGGGGGAAACCCUGAUGCAGCAACGCCGCGUGAGUGAUGACGGCCUUCGGGUUGUAAAGCUCUGUAUUCAGGGACGAUAAUGACGGUACCUGAGGAGGAAGCCACGGCUAACUACGUG
Molecule: ribosomal RNA, 464 nt
Filed under: uncultured bacterium
Lineage: Bacteria
Description: partial 16S ribosomal RNA
Rfam family: Bacterial small subunit ribosomal RNA
Source: RNAcentral